RNAcentral lists this ribosomal RNA (440 nucleotides) under uncultured bacterium. Its description in RNAcentral is "partial 16S ribosomal RNA". It matches the Rfam family "Bacterial small subunit ribosomal RNA", at positions 338 to 795 of the family's 1533-position model. The record is from RNAcentral.
CCUACGGGGGGCAGCAGUGAGGGAUAUUGGUCAAUGGGGGAAACCCUGAACCAGCAACGCCGCGUGAAGGAAGACGGUUUUCGGAUUGUAAACCUCUUUUCUCAGAGAAGAUAAUGACGGUAGCAGAGGAGGAAGCUCCGGCUAACUACGUGCCAGCAGCCGCGGUAAUACGUAGGGAGCAAGCGUUGUUCGGAUUUACUGGGUGUAAAGGGGGCGUAGGCGGGAUUGCAAGUCAGAAGUGAAAUCCAUGGGCUUAACCAUAGAACUGCAUUUGAAACUGUAAGUCUUGAGUGGAGUAGAGGUAGGCGGAAUUCCCGGUGUAGCGGUGAAAUGCGUAGAGAUCAGGAGGAACACCCAUGGCGAAGGCGGCUUACUAGACCAUAACUGACGUUGAGGCGCGAAAGCGUGGGGAGCAAACAGGAUUAGAUACCCGUGUAGUC